ACUGGCCCAAUUCUUCUUGAAUGCAUAACAUGCUACAACAUAUGAUAUAAUAUAUUACAUAUCUUAACUCUCAAAAUGUCUGUAGUAGACAGAAAUAUUUAAAAGAAUGACGAAUUAUUAACAUGACCUUGAGCGUAAAUUUCAAGAUCGCGUGUAAAUUAUGUUUGGGUCGAAGAUGCAGGAAAACUGCGACAUAUUGGUGAAGUUUAUCCUGUAUGUGUGUUGAUUUAUUCAGUAAACCAGAUAUAUACUUUUGCUCUAUUGCAUCUCACGAUGCAUCUUAAUAGUCGAUGCACAAAUGCAUUAUAUCGUUAUUAAAAAAAAAAUGCAUAGCAUAAUAAUGUUUACAUGAAUUUAUUUGAACUUUAACAAUAAGCGAGAAAUUUAAAAAAUUGUGUUUUAAAGAAAUAAUAAUUAAUAUUAAUUAUAAGUUUUGUAAAAUUCUACUUUUCGUAAAAGCGACUUGAUGAAAAUCAAUGAACUGUGACUGCACUAUUACGUCACGCACGAAACUAUAUAUAGAUAUUUAUUGAUGUAAAAAUAGUACAAAAUUUAUGUUUAAGACAUAAUCACAUAAUUAUGUUUAGCAAGGUUUAUAUUUGAAUUGAUUAUCAGUUAUCAUCCAUGUUGCAACAUAAGUGAAUACUUUAAGGGCUUCAUCCAUUUAAAGCUGCACAACUACAAUAGCGGAAAUGCACAUUAAAGAAAUUCAAAAAAUGCAAAUUGUUAUUAUGAAUUUCCAUCUCAAGUAUUAUUUCAUUUGUUCGAAACGCAGAACAGUUGUUAUAGGAGACAUUUUAGUUAUAUAUAUAAAAUAAAAUAAAAUAAAAUAAUAAUAAAAAAAAAAAUCCUUCCAAGAUUACGAAAUUACAGAAAAAAAAUUAUUGUUCUAAUUUGGAGUGUGGCUAUGUCGUGGUGCAAACAGUCAGCUAAUGAUACAAUCACGUUAUUAUAUUCGCAGUCGAGAAACUUUCUUCCAGGGAUCUGUGUUGUUCGAGAAACACAGUCUCAGUCCGACUUGUGAUUUUUAAACACCAUUAUUGAUUUCGUAAUGAACGUAAAAAUAAUUUAAUACAAAAUUCAGCGUAUUUAAAUAUUUAUUACGCAUCGUGCGUAAAAACGAUUCACAUUAGUAUAAUGUGCAAUUGCGAUAUAAUCACCGUAUAAACUAUAUAAAUCAUAACAUAACAAAUAAUUAAAAAGUUACUUUAUUAUCGAAUUGGCGUAAAUACAUAAAUCGUUUCUUUUUCAUAAAAUGUCGUGCUCUAAAUAAUUAAAAUUAAUAAUAAUAGGAAGAUAAGGAUCGCACUAUACUCGUUUGAAUGAUUUUUGUUCGUGAUUCGUACACCUGUCAAACGUACAACCGCGAUCGUAAUUCACGAACGCGAAUCAAGUAACAGAGUGGUGGAAGUAAAACGAUAUCGCCAACGAUAUAGGUGGAAGCGUAGAUAUUGCAACAAGUGUCCUCUACUUUCAAGUAUAUUAUGCAUCCUAUGCUAUAUAAUUAUACGAGAAUGUUAUGCGUUUGUUAAUGAUGUCGAAAUCACGUGCCAAAGUUACAUAUUUCUUAUACUCGAAAAGGACCGAAAGACGCAAGUGAACAGAUCGUGCAAACGUGAAACCGCGUCAUAAAUAUCUGACGAAUUCCAAAAAAAAAAAAUCGCGAAUACAAGUUUUAUGUGCGGAUGUAUUGGUACGAGGACAAGAUCGAAGCCGUCAACGAUGGUGCCGUUAUCGGAAGCGCAUUCCGACGAUUUGGCCUUCGAGCUCACCUCCUCGUACCGACGUUGUUUGGAGCGGCCGCAUCGUCGUUCCGCGUCUUUCUGAGGAAAAACCGUGUAAAGACCAUCGUACAACCCGUCGCAUAUGGAUAUAGCACUCUCGUUACAUGCACUGACAAAAAGUGUUACAAAAUCAUGCCACCGAUCGAUAGUUCGCUAGACGAGCAAAAAAUAAGUACGAGAAAACUACACACGAUAUAACCGAGCACGAGACAUAUCGUAAACUGACAAGUUUGCCUGUAGAGGGCCGCGUUUACCGUUUGCUUCUUCAAUAUGACAUACAAUUCCUCGGAUCUGGAUGGACCGUAUCAUUAGCAUUUUUUAGUUAACGAUAGAGAGGGCUAUCAUUCGAAAAAAACGAACAAAUAUACGGACUAAAGUAAACCCUGUUCAGUCCAAGAGUAGAACGAACAAGGUAAUUACGCAUUUGACUAGAUCUACAUAUAAUAACUACCUUAUACUGGUUUAAACGCGGCACCCUUUCGCGCCACGAAAAAAAAGAAUACGGAGUUUUGUACAGUGAGUCACUCGUAGGCGUGUCUUGGAUUAAUCCUAAGCACCUGUGCUGAGGCUAGUUAUACAGUGCACUUGCGAAUAACUGAUACAGUGAAAGGGGUACUUAAAGUUUUGCUUGAGUUGGCGGAUCGAUGUUCCAAAAGAGUGAACACGUUGCACCCCUUCUUUCUUGGGCGUACGUACGUAUUCCCAUGUGUAAAGUUGGGGAAAACGUCUGGUAAUGAGGGGGCGUUCAUCGUCUCUGCCGAUUUUGUCACUUUAUCGGCCACCCGCAACGUUACAGUGGAAAAAUAGAAACAUAUUUAUCUUAUGAAUGACAAAAAUUCAUAAAAUAUUAACCAUGAAGACUGAAGGUAAAUCGGAUCACGUACAAACUCGAUGACUAACUUGAAGCGACAAAUUUAAUAAAGUUAAUAGAAUAUAUUACAUCAUCUUCGACCCUUAGAACGUUUAUCAUAUAUGUCUGGGAUGACGUUAAAGAAAAUUUAUUUUCACUGUCGUUCGAAGGGCGCGAAAUGCAAUCUGCUUCAUUGAACGAACGAGUAACGCGAAACAAUACGAAAAUAACACUGGCGGAGCUAAUGGUUUUAUCUAAACAUUAUACUAUCAAAUUAUAGCUCUGGAAAACGAUAUAAUGGUUAUUCCAAUCUAGUAAAAAAAAAGAACGGAAUGUACUAGAUCGAUCAACUUCGAUUAUCAUUUAUCUGUGCGUAUUCAUGUCAUCUUCGUUAUGCAAUCCCGUACAUUGACGUAAAAGUAUAAUAAUUCAUGUGCAUUUGUUAAAUAUUUCGUUAGAGUAACACAAUGUACUGCACAACCUAGCAUUGAAAUCACCCGAUAAAUUCAGUGAUCGCAAUGCUGUCUAUAGUAUCAAAGUGAUCGGUACACGCAUUAUAACGACCCGCUUUUAAACGGACGUAUUAAUAAUAUUCCGACGAAAUGAAUUCUAUUAUGCUCGAACUCUACCUUUUCGGAUACAAGUGAAAUAGAAUUCAAUGCAAUUGGUAUGAUCGAUAGCAUGUAGUAUAGAGAGAGAAACAUAAAACCUUAAUGAAGACUGUUAACUAUACUUCUUACGAUUAAGAUAAGCACAGCUAACGAUGUUUUCCGACGCUAUAAAGUAAUUCCUAUAAAAUUUCUUUUGAAAUAUAAAUUACAACCAUUUGUUUCUCUCUACACACCAGUACUAAAUUUCAA
Molecule: long non-coding RNA, 3494 nt
Organism: Hylaeus anthracinus
Lineage: Eukaryota; Metazoa; Arthropoda; Insecta; Hymenoptera; Colletidae
Exons: 5
Source: RefSeq, a predicted model, not a curated record